GGAUUGUGGCUCAGAGGUAGAGCGCUCGCCUAGUAUGGGCGGGACCCAGGUUCGGGCGGGACCCGGGUUCGAUCCUCAGCACCA
RNAcentral lists this transfer RNA (84 nucleotides) under Marmota monax (woodchuck). Its description in RNAcentral is "tRNA.Thr". The record is from RNAcentral. Lineage: Eukaryota; Metazoa; Chordata; Mammalia; Rodentia; Sciuridae.